Long non-coding RNA from Folsomia candida, 1029 nucleotides. RefSeq lists it as uncharacterized. Lineage: Eukaryota; Metazoa; Arthropoda; Collembola; Entomobryomorpha; Isotomidae. The record is from RefSeq and is a predicted model, not a curated record. The transcript has 3 exons.
AAUAGAUUGUAAUUUUACCUUCCUCCAAGCUCAACUGUCCAACUUAAGUACAUUCGUUCAUUUCAUUUCCACGACAUAUGUACUGCACACAACUGCUGUAAAAUACAUAUGUACUACAUGCAUACACACUUCUUGUAUGAACCCAGAAUCUUAUUUGAAGAUAACGAAGAUUGAGAUGUCAAAAUUACACGACGUCUCAUCUCAUGUCACCAAAUCUGCAUUGUAAUCAUAAUUCACAACCCCCGAAGUCAAUAGUGAACCACAAACGCCGCAACAAUCAGUCAGACUAGCAGAGUCAGAUAGUCGUGUAAUCUAAAUUUGUGAGUUUUCUCAUUUUCCGGCUCCUGGGGGAUAUUUUACCCAGUAAUUCACCACCGACAGAACAACCUUCGAGUUUUCACUGCGCCACCAAGAGCGAUCCGGAUCUCAUGCCAAGAAAGUCCAAUUCUUCAUGCCCUGGAGCAGCCUCAGCCGUGUCAACUAAACUACUCAGAGAUCAACAAUUCAGCACCAGCAGACUAGAACACGACGAUAGCUCAUUCGUAUUUAAAGUUUUGUAACUGUUUGCGACGAGGUAAACAUCUUGUGUGCCACAGUAAUAACUAGUCGGAAAUAAAACCUUUGGGCAUACUUAUAUCCGGUAUUAACCUACAAAGAUCCAUUUCCUAAAUGUGAGAACCUGAGGAAAUUUCGUCAUUGCAUUAUCAUUUCUGAUGGAAGCUCAUGCCCGAUAUAGUCAAGUCAACGCUGUGUUACGGGAGGAACCCUGCUGCUAUAUUUAUUGUAAUAGACGGUCCAUGAGCAUCAAGGAAAUUGAAAUUACUACUUGAUCCAUCACCACAAUUCUCUCUCUCUCUCCAGCAGAUUUAUGUCAUUGAAGUAAAAAAAACUGUUGAAAAACGGAGAUGAAAAAGGGUUCUAUCCUUUUCGAGUAGUAAAUACGAUACUCCUUUGAAUGUGUGUCUCUUGGUAUUAAUAUAAACUAUAAUGUGUCACAUAAAACCUGACAGUUUCCCAAUAUCGUCUAAA